RNAcentral lists this ribosomal RNA (1296 nucleotides) under Glaesserella parasuis. Its description in RNAcentral is "partial 23S ribosomal RNA". It matches the Rfam family "Bacterial large subunit ribosomal RNA", at positions 724 to 1890 of the family's 2925-position model. Lineage: Bacteria; Pseudomonadati; Pseudomonadota; Gammaproteobacteria; Pasteurellales; Pasteurellaceae. The record is from RNAcentral.
GGUGAUCUAGCCAUGGGCAGGUUGAAGGUUGGGUAACACUAACUGGAGGACCGAACCGACUAAUGUUGAAAAAUUAGCGGAUGACUUGUGGCUGGGGGUGAAAGGCCAAUCAAACCGGGAGAUAGCUGGUUCUCCCCGAAAUCUAUUUAGGUAGAGCCUUAUGUGAAUACCUUCGGGGGUAGAGCACUGUUUCGGCUAGGGGUCCAUCCCGGAUUACCAACCCGAUGCAAACUGCGAAUACCGAAGAGUAAUGCAUAGGAGACACACGGUGGGUGCUAACGUCCAUCGUGGAGAGGGAAACAACCCAGACCGCCAGCUAAGGUCCCAAAGUCUAUAUUAAGUGGGAAACGAAGUGGGAAGGCUUAGACAGCUAGGAUGUUGGCUUAGAAGCAGCCAUCAUUUAAAGAAAGCGUAAUAGCUCACUAGUCGAGUCGGCCUGCGCGGAAGAUGUAACGGGGCUAAAAUAUAGCACCGAAGCUGCGGCAUCAGGCGUAUCACUAAUACGCCUUACGAUUAACAACAUCGAAUGAAGUGAAACGGAAUGAGAUGUUGGUCAAGCAACCCGAACGUUGAGUCGGAAAGUAAUCGAAGAGAGGAUUAUUAGUGAUACGUCUGUUGGGUAGGGGAGCGUUGUGUAAGCGGAUGAAGGUGAAUCGAGAGGUUUGCUGGACGUAUCACAAGUGCGAAUGCUGACAUAAGUAACGAUAAAACGAGUGAAAAACUCGUUCGCCGGAAGACCAAGGGUUCCUGUCCAACGUUAAUCGGGGCAGGGUGAGUCGGCCCCUAAGGCGAGGCUGAAAAGCGUAGUCGAUGGGAAACGGGUUAAUAUUCCCGUACUUGGUAAAGCUGCGAUGUGGGGACGGAGAAGGUUAGGUUAGCAGACUGUUGGAUGUCUGUUUAAGUUGGUAGGUGGGGAGUUUAGGCAAAUCCGGACUUCCAUAACACUGAGAGAUGAUGACGAGUUUCUACGGAAAUGAAGUAACUGAUACCACGCUUCCAGGAAAAGCCACUAAGCGAAAGGCUUUACUAAACCGUACUGAAAACCGACACAGGUGGUCAGGUAGAGAAUACUCAGGCGCUUGAGAGAACUCGGGUGAAGGAACUAGGCAAAAUAGCACCGUAACUUCGGGAGAAGGUGCGCUGGCGUAGGUUGUAGGAGUAUACCUCCGAAGGCUGAACCAGUCGAAGAUACCAGCUGGCUGCAACUGUUUAUUAAAAACACAGCACUCUGCAAACACGAAAGUGGACGUAUAGGGUGUGAUGCCUGCCCGGUGCUGGAAGGUUAAUUGAUGGUGU